This 250-nucleotide ribosomal RNA is filed under the name uncultured bacterium. RNAcentral's name for it is "partial 16S ribosomal RNA". It matches the Rfam family "Bacterial small subunit ribosomal RNA", at positions 524 to 773 of the family's 1533-position model. The record is from RNAcentral.
UACGUAGGGGGCAAGCGUUAUCCGGAUUUACUGGGUGUAAAGGGAGCGUAGGUGGUUUGAUAAGUCAGAUGUGAAAGCCCGGGGCUCAACCCCGGGACUGCAUCUGAUACUAUCAGGCUUGAGUGCAGGAGAGGUAAGUGGAAUUCCUAGUGUAGCGGUGAAAUGCGUAGAUAUUAGGAGGAACACCAGUGGCGAAGGCGGCUUACUGGACUGUAACUGACACUGAGGCUCGAAAGCGUGGGGAGCAAAC